GAUCCAUCCUGCAAUACUCGCUUGAGUACCUGUUGAUAGGUAGUAAUGCUGGUGGAUUUA
Molecule: microRNA precursor, 60 nt
Filed under: Cordylochernes scorpioides
Lineage: Eukaryota; Metazoa; Arthropoda; Arachnida; Pseudoscorpiones; Chernetidae
Source: RNAcentral